GCUACAUAUGAACCAAACGUUGC
RNAcentral lists this non-coding RNA (23 nucleotides) under Arabidopsis thaliana (thale cress). The record is from RNAcentral. Lineage: Eukaryota; Viridiplantae; Streptophyta; Magnoliopsida; Brassicales; Brassicaceae.